CCGAGUGAGGGCUGCCUCCGGGCGCCCAACCUCCCACCCGUGAAUACCUUACCACUGUUGCUUCGGCGAGGAGCCCCUUCCGGGGGGCGAGUCGCCGGGGACCACAUGAACUUCUUGAUUGUAGAGUUGCGUCUGAGCCUGAAAUAUAAAUCAGUCA
Molecule: unclassified non-coding RNA, 157 nt
Filed under: uncultured Aspergillus
Lineage: Eukaryota; Fungi; Ascomycota; Eurotiomycetes; Eurotiales; Aspergillaceae
Description: sequence contains ITS1
Source: RNAcentral